Molecule: long non-coding RNA, 1413 nt
Organism: Bactrocera latifrons
Lineage: Eukaryota; Metazoa; Arthropoda; Insecta; Diptera; Tephritidae
Exons: 4
Source: RefSeq, a predicted model, not a curated record
UGACUUUUUGAAUUGCAAAAUUGGUCGAUUAAAGCUUCACAAUCUAAACGUUGAAGUACAUCUGAUUCGAUGCAUAGAAUAUCUAAGCUAUUGAGUCUAUUUGCACUCAUUGCAGAACCUAAAGUAAUAAAUAUUCGAUAUGCGAUUUCUACGUUCGGAAACUCUGUAUAAAGGUCGUUUGCAAGCAAAAGUUUCAGAAUAUCGGAAGGUGAAUUUUGUUCCAUCUUGUUUUCAGUGCAAUAAGCAUGGAAGUGCACAAAUUCGUAAUCCAAUGAGGACUCAAGAUCUGAAGAAUAAACAUUUCGUAAACGUUUAGCUCAGUUACGAAUCUCUUUAUUAUCCAAAUUGUCAAAUUCAAUAAUAACUGAAAACUUUUCAUGAAUCUUUUCAUAUGCAACACAUCUUUUUCGCAAUUCAGAAUCUAGAUUGUCAAGAAUGAAAAGUGUUGACUCUAAAGUGGGCUCGACCUGACGCAUACCGUAAUUCAUCAGCAUAUUUCGAAUUAAUUUCUCGUAUCAGCAACAACUUUGAUGAAACCACGAUAAUCGUCGAUCACGUCAGCAAUGCUACAAUCACUUUCUUUCUUCGACUAACAGCAUUGAAUCGUGAGAGUAAAAAAUGCCAAAGUAUCUGCAUAAUUCCUGUUUCAAGUCGCUCCAAUUGAAUACGUAAACCUUUAGCUUCUGGUCUUGUAAUUGCAUUUUCUUCCAUAUUUUCUUCAAUAAUAAUCAAAGUCUCGAUUAUUUCGUCAAAAUGUUGAUUAAUAUGAAAUUGUAAAACUACCCAGCGGUGCGUCGAUGCAGUAAAGAAGUUGUGUAAAGUUUGUACAGUAUUAAAGAUAGAAGCAGCUUCUGGCGCGCAUUCUAUUGCGUGAAUAAAUGCCUGAUUGCAUUGUUGAUGACUGACUUCGACAGUCGGUGAGAUCAAGAUCAAAAAACUCGAGAAUCGAUAAUACAGCAACUAGCAAAUCUUCAGCUUUAUGUCCAGAAUUUUGAAUGAACAUCAGAAAACGUUCAACAAUCCUUCCAUCUUUUCGCACGUAUCUGAUAACAAACGAAAGUCGACAUGAGAUAUAUCAAGUGUGGAAUCUACAAUAAUCGCAUAAUAUUUCGCUGAUUUGACUUCUUGAACUAUGAUAGAAGAUACUUUUUAUAAUGGGUGAAAAGAAGCAAGAAAUUCAAUCAGCAUUACAAAAUUUCCAUUAUUUGGUGACCCAAACUUUUCAUCACUUCCUCGGAAUGGAAGUCCUCCAGAAGCUAAGGCUUUAGUAGCAGCGACUACUCUUCAUUAUCUUCUAUAUUUAUAGCUGUAUCUUGAAGUUCGCUUCCAUGAUGGAUAUUCUGUGGCAACGAAGAACUACGACUUAUCAGCAUUAUGACUCGCAGACGGAGUUUGUUUUGAAGUUAAAGUAGA